Molecule: ribosomal RNA, 295 nt
Filed under: Echinococcus granulosus
Lineage: Eukaryota; Metazoa; Platyhelminthes; Cestoda; Cyclophyllidea; Taeniidae
Description: partial 12S ribosomal RNA
Source: RNAcentral
AAAUGGUUUGGCAGUGAGCGAUUCUUGUUAGGGGAAGAUGCAUAGUAAAGGAUGGUCCACCUAUUAUUUCACUCUUGUUAUGUUGGUGUAUAUCUGGUUUGAUAUUAUCGUUUAAUGGUUUGAGUUUGUGUAGUUUUAGUUAAGCCAAGUCUAUGUGCUGCUUAUGGGAGUUUUUGUGUGUUACAUUAAUAAGGGUGUUGUUGUAAUAUGAUAUUAUUUAGGACUUAAUAGUAAUGUUAAAUUAGUUUGUUGAUGUGAAAUGAGUUUAGCUCAGGUACACACCGCCCGUCACCCU